This 496-nucleotide ribosomal RNA is filed under the name uncultured bacterium. RNAcentral describes it as "partial 16S ribosomal RNA". It matches the Rfam family "Bacterial small subunit ribosomal RNA", at positions 28 to 506 of the family's 1533-position model. The record is from RNAcentral.
GAUGAACGCUGGCGGCGUGCCUAAUACAUGCAAGUCGAGCGAACAGACGAGGAGCUUGCUCCUCUGACGUUAGCGGCGGACGGGUGAGUAACACGUGGAUAACCUACCUAUAAGACUGGGAUAACUUCGGGAAACCGGAGCUAAUACCGGAUAAUAUAUUGAACCGCAUGGUUCAAUAGUGAAAGACGGUUUUGCUGUCACUUAUAGAUGGAUCCGCGCCGCAUUAGCUAGUUGGUAAGGUAACGGCUUACCAAGGCAACGAUGCGUAGCCGACCUGAGAGGUGGAUCGCCAAAAUUGAACUGGAGACACGUCCAAGACCCUUACGGGGGGCAGAAGUAGGGAAUCUUCCGCAAUGGGCGAAAGCUUGACGGAGAAACGCCGCGUGAGGGAUGAAGGUCUCCGAAUCGUAAAACUCUUUUAUUAGGGAAGAACAAAUGGGUAAGUAACUAUGCACUUCUGGCCGGUACCUAAUCAGAAAGCAACGGCUACUUACGG